GUUCGGCGUGCCCAUGGGGUACGGCGGCCCGCACGCCGCGUUCCUCGCCACUUCCCAGGAGUACAAGCGCCUCAUGCCCGGCCGUAUCAUCGGCGUGAGCGUCGAUUCCAGCGGCAAGCCCGCGCUCCGGAUGGCGAUGCAGACCCGGGAGCAGCACAUCCGCCGCGACAAGGCCACCAGCAACAUCUGCACUGCCCAGGCCUUGCUCGCCAACAUGGCAGCGAUGUAUG
RNAcentral lists this unclassified non-coding RNA (230 nucleotides) under Hevea brasiliensis (rubber tree). The record is from RNAcentral. Lineage: Eukaryota; Viridiplantae; Streptophyta; Magnoliopsida; Malpighiales; Euphorbiaceae.